Molecule: ribosomal RNA, 896 nt
Filed under: uncultured bacterium
Lineage: Bacteria
Description: bacterial SSU rRNA
Rfam family: Bacterial small subunit ribosomal RNA
Source: RNAcentral
GGCUCAGAAUCAACGCUGGCGGCAUGCCUAACACAUGCAAGUCGAACGCGAAAGUGGCUUCGGCCGCGAGUAGAGUGGCAAACGGGUGAGUAACACGUGGGCGACCUGCCCUCGAGUGGGGGAUAACGUCUCGAAAGGGACGCUAAUACCGCAUGAUAUCCCGCCUUUGAAGAGGUGGAGAUCGAAGCCGGGGACCGCAAGGCCCGGCGCUCGAGGAGGGACCCGCGCCCGAUUAGCUAGUUGGUGAGGUAACGGCCCACCAAGGCAACGAUCGGUAGCCGGCCUGAGAGGGCGGACGGCCACACUGGGACUGAGACACGGCCCAGACUCCUACGGGAGGCAGCAGUGGGGAAUUGUUCGCAAUGGGCGCAAGCCUGACGACGCAAUGCCGCGUGGAGGACGAAGAUCUUCGGAUCGUAAACUCCUGUCGAGCGGGACGAACGGCCCCGGACCCAAUACGUCCGGGGAGUGACGGUACCGCGAGAGGAAGCCCCGGCUAACUCCGUGCCAGCAGCCGCGGUAAUACGGGGGGGGCAAGCGUUGUUCGGAAUUACUGGGCGUAAAGGGCUAGUAGGCGGCCUUCUAAGUCGGACGUGAAAUCCCUCGGCUCAACCGGGGAACUGCGUCCGAUACUGGGGGGCUCGAAUCCGGGAGAGGGAUGCGGAAUUCCAGGUGUAGCGGUGAAAUGCGUAGAUAUCUGGAGGAACACCGGUGGCGAAGGCGGCAUCCUGGACCGGUAUUGACGCUGAAUAGCGAAAGCCAGGGGAGCAAACGGGAUUAGAUACCCCGGUAGUCCUGGCCCUAAACGAUGAAUGCUUGGUGUGGCGGGUAUCGAUCCCUGCCGUGCCGGAGCUAACGCGGUAAGCAUUCCGCCUGGGGAGUACGGUCGCAAGGCU